CACGUAGGGCGCAAGCGUUGUCCGGAAUUAUUGGGCGUAAAGAGCUCGUAGGCGGUCUGUUGCGUCUGCUGUGAAAACCCGGGGCUUAACCCCUGGCUUGCAGUGGAUACGGACAGACUAGAGGUAGGUAGGGGAGAAUGGAAUUCCCGGUGUAGCGGUGAAAUGCGUAGAGAUCCGGAGGAACACCGAAGGCGAAGGCAGUGUCCUGGCGAGUGACUGACGCUGAGGUGCGAAAGCCAGGGGAGCGAACGGG
Molecule: ribosomal RNA, 253 nt
Filed under: uncultured bacterium
Lineage: Bacteria
Description: partial 16S ribosomal RNA
Rfam family: Bacterial small subunit ribosomal RNA
Source: RNAcentral